RNAcentral lists this long non-coding RNA (5306 nucleotides) under Brassica napus (rape). Its description in RNAcentral is "long non-coding RNA (BNAP_LNC021068)". The record is from RNAcentral. Lineage: Eukaryota; Viridiplantae; Streptophyta; Magnoliopsida; Brassicales; Brassicaceae.
CCUAGGGAUUGGCCAGUGAACUCUUGUGCCUUAGAACCAGUGAGGUUGGACACAAGAAGUUCUGGAUCACGGCCUAAACUGGUGCGGCAACUCCACAAGACUUUGCGCACUCAACAACUCAGCUUCACCUCUUCAUGGAACUGGUUUGAGGUCUCCCCCUCUCAACUGACUUCACAGUCUUCUUAGAGAAGCUAGGACACGACCAGAUCAUCUUCACAACACUAGUGAGGCUGAUCAAGAUUUCACACACGGCUUGCCCUCUUCAUAGAACUGGUUUGGAUCUCCCCCUCUCAACAGACUUCUCAGCCAUCUUAGAGAAGCUAGGAACUGACCAGGAACAUCUUUAGUGAGGCUCAAGCAAUGGUACCUGAUACAUUAUCCCAAAGGUGCAUCAGUACCUAUCAAAAACAAGAAAAUGAAUAUCCUGCAUCACACUUGAUGCACACAAUCUCACAAUUCAAUCAUAAUCAUCUUAAGUAUCUUUUCAAGCACAAGCAAUGAAUAAGAUGAAUGAAAAAGAUUGAAAAGAGUUUUAAAAGUCUAAGGGAACUUCCCUUGUGUUUUUGUGAGUUUCCAAACUCUCUCAAUGCACCAUCUUCAUGGCAUCAUCAACUUCUUGGAAAGGCAGAAUGGAUUCAUCAGCUUCUCCUCAAUCACCUCUCAUUGAAGCUGCAUUGAUGGAGAGCCUUCUUCCUCACUUGCCAAGGCUGCUCUGAACAGCCUCUUGCCUAGACACGCCACUGACUUGGUCCGGUUGAUGAUCCUUGUAGAAGCCUUUGCACCGACUUGUUACUGACCAUGGAUCAUAUGCAUUAAGACUCCCCCUCAAGCUUAGAACCUAGACUAGAAGGAGCUAAGCUUGUGAUGAUCCUAAGCAUCUCCAUGGUCUAAUAACUAUCAUCUUUUUAUGAUAGCUUUCUUCUUGUGAGUUUACUCUCUUCCUUAACCAGGAACUAGGGUGUUUGAAUCACCAUAGAGAGUCUCACAAGACACACCUCUCAUUGCAUAAUGACCCAUGCUACACUUCCUGUAGACUAAGGACUAGAUAUGUCCAAUGGUAUUAUGCAAUGGCUAUCUCUCAUUGCAUACUCAAUCACACUACACUUCCUGUAGAUUAUGGACUAACAUGUCCUAGUGAUGAUAUGCAAUGGCACAAGACCUUUGUCUCUACAUUCUUGGUUGAUGGCGAGUUACAUGUAUCACUUCCCUUGUGUACCUAACACCACCAAAACUCAAUGCAAGAUCAGAUCAUCCCAUUGGGAUCAAACCAAGAUCAUCCAUCCUGUUUGAUCACCAAUGCCACAAUAAUAUAUGAUACUUGAAACAAGCUAGACAAUCAAGACAAUCUAGCAAAGACAAUCAAUUCAGUUUUUUUUUUUUUUAAAUGCAACAAUAGAUGAAUGCAUUAGGUUACACUAACUAUAUGAAUGAAACAGAUUCAAUUCAAAAUGGAACACAAGUCUAGAUGAUACUUCUGCAAUUAAGGCGACAAGAGUGACACAAUUCAUGCAUAUGCUCACUAGUUUUAUCAAGGCCAAUGAUUCAAGUAGCUUAGACAUACUUCUAAAUGCUUAUAAGACAUCACUGAUGGAUUUAACUAUGGCAUAGCAACAAUCAGAACUGGAUUGAGUCGAGACAAGCAGAUUUAAAUUUCUAACAAUGACAAUGCAAGUUCUAUACAGUUCUCUAAAUGCAAAGCUUAUAUCAAGUCAUUUGCAAUUUAGGCUCAUUUUUAAAUGCAUUACUACAUGAAUGCACAAUCUUAAAGCAUUAGCUAUAUGAAUGCAACGGGUUCAAUCCAUGAGUAAUAUUAAAGCUCUGCACAACAGUUUCAAUCAGAACCAAUGAUGCAAGCAACUUAGACAAUUUCUAAUUGAUGCAAGACUUUCAUUGGUGGAUUAAACAUAGGCAAUAGCAUCAGAUAACACUAGGAUUGAACUUAGACAGUAUGAGAUAUGCUUAUGUAUGCAAAAGACCUUAUCAAUCAUGAUGUAAGCAGCAGAGACAUUCUACUCAAUUCUACAACACAUCCAUGAUGAUUCAAGCUAUGACAACACUCAAGACAAUGCAAUAAACAAAACAUGAGAUUCUGGGACUCUAGACACCACUCACAGCACAAUAAAUAAAGACACAAGCUCUUAUUAAGGGUUAAGAGGUUUGCUUACAAACAAGAGAUCCGAGCUGAUCUCUUGAACUUCCAUGGGCACGGUUCACUUGAACUUGGCAUGAACUUGAUACUUGGAUUCAGUAUCCAACACCUUUCCUUGGUGUGCCCAUCCCUCUUGCAAUGCUCACUCUCCAAGGCUUCACUCUUCGGCUGGAUCACUCCAUGAUCAGCUUGCAAUGGUCUUGGUUUACAUUGCAUCACCCUCCUGGUGAUGCUCUUUCUUUGCAUGUCGACUGUCCUCUCUACACUCAUCUGAUGCGUAGGCUAUGGUGACUAAACCACCAUGGACAGAACCAUAAGUCAUCUCUCCAUUGUCACAACAUCCUCUCUACCCUCUUUGGAGCAGGCUGUGGACUUCCCACAGAAUGUUGGCAACAGGCUUCAUUUUACCAUUCUAUUGUAAUGAUAAGGAGGAACUUCAAGACCAGGAGCACAUCACCCUAACAGCUGCGCUUAAAUCACUGAUCCAUCCUUUUGCUUUAAGCUUCAAGUACUCUCAGAUCACCGGCCUUCCUCAUGGCAUAGGUGGUGACCUUCUUCUUCUUGUGUGCCUUGAACCAGGAGCUCAACAACCUCGUGGCCUGCGCUUCUUAAACCGGCUUCUACACACAAGAACCUUCCCAUUGCUCCACACAAUGGUUGGUCUUCCGCUUGUAUGUCUUGAACCAGGAGCUCAACAACCUCGUGGCCUGCGCUUCUUAAACCAGCUUCUACACACAAGUAUCUUCCCAUUGCUCCACACAAUGGUUCAAGUCUUCCUCUUUUCUUGGAUAGGUGGUGAGCAGAGGACACUUCUUGUGAACCUGAAACACCACUCAAACUCCAGAAAGGAUAAGACACAAGAGUAUUGGGAUCAAUCCUUGAUUAAUCAUCAGGUUUGAUUCCCAAUCUCACAAGCAAUGCAACAGAUAGACACAAGGCAUUAUCAAGUUCUAUUCUUUGCAAGCUAGCUCUCUAAGAACAAGCAAGAUCCUAACAGAUUCAAGACAGGUUACUUAGGCACUUUUAAAAGCUUCUUUACUCAGCACUUUAGACAUGAAUCUAAUGCUUCAAUGUAAGAUAGCCACAAGACUAUAUGCAACAGCUUUAAAAUUCAGUUUCAAUUCAUGUAUGCAAGCAGAUUCAGUUAAUCACUCUAAGCAUCACUAUGAAACGAAGCUAAGCAUAUUAAUCACAUUCAGUCACCAAACAAAGCUCUUAAAGUAUCCUGGGACAGAUUCUAAACAUUUUAAUUUAUCAAUCUUUAACAGUCCUCAGGUUUUCAAUCACAUCACACAUUACAACCAGUCAACAACACAAGCUCAUUAUCAAGAGGGUUUUAAAAUCGCUUACACAAGGAACCAGGUUGGUUCCUUAAACCUCCAAGGGGACUGGCCAUGGCUUUUGUUGAAUCUGAGAGUCUGGAUAGUCACCCACCUCCUACUCCUUCAGUUCAUGACCACCUUCUUGUUUCUCCAGCUCAAAGACUCCUCCUUUCUCCAAGUCUUCUAGGCGCCAUCACCUUGACAGCUUUCAUGAUGAACCGGGUGAAGAAAGCUCUUGGAGGAGGCGCCUUGGAUGAGGUUCGUGAGUCCUCUCCAUACACUUCUGCUUCCAAUGAGUCUCUCCAUCAGUAUAGACAGGAGAAAGGAUGAGAGACACGCCCUUCAGUCUUCUUCUCAUGGAGAAACUGAACUCGGAUGGGAAUGUCUUCAAGGAUUGGAUUUGAGCUGAGGGUAGAGCUUGUGUUGUGCGGAAGCUACAGCUCAGGUUCUGAUGAACCUGGCUCUGAUACCAUAUGAUUUUUAAAGAGAUCUCUACUCUGGUAGUAUGUGUGUGUGUAUAAGCUUCAAUGAAGAAUGAUUAGAGCUUGUUCUAGGUGAUUUAGGAAGAGAGAUUUGUGAGAGUGUAUAAGAGACUUAAGAACAGAGAGAUUAAGAGACUUAAGAGACUAGAGAGACUGAGAGAAUAAGAGACUGAAGAUUAGUGUUUCAGAUUAGAGAAGGAGAGGGGAAACCCCCUAACUCACUUAAUCUCUUACAAUCGCCAAUCCUUGGCUUAUAUAUGUCUCUACACUUUGCAAUAUCAUAAACCUAUAUCCUAGGGCUGAUAUUAACUUGAAUGAUGGACGGCCUGGAUGAGAUAAGGCUGGUCUUUGGUCUUGGCAGCUUGUCUUGUAAUUGGUUGAUUCAAACUGAGGCAACAGGAGACUGAAGGCGCCAAUGUAUCUUGCUCCUUAUGUGACCAGAUACAUGCUUCUCCUUUUGCCUUUACCUUUUGCUUUUGCUUUCACUUUACAGCUUGCUCCUUAUCUAUACAAGAUGCUCAGCAUAUUCCUUCCCUCCAUAAGCCUUCAACGGCCUUGGUAAUUCAAACCUGCCGCGCCCACACAUUGCACAACUUGAUCAAGACUGAUCCGAGUGAUGGCUGGACCGGAUGGGAUGUACGGACGCUGUACGGCCUUGAGGUCCGUACACUCGUCCUAUGCCUUCAUCCAACUUCCUUCUAUGGUUAACCCUUACACCUUCUUGGAUCACCCUAGGCCGUACCAUGGCCGUACCGAACGCCCUAUCUUUGCACCAUACUUCCAUCUUCUCUUUAACUCCUCCAAAGCCUCCACAUGAUCAGUCUAAGUCUUUCCUAGACUUAACUUCACAAGAUAACUCCUUCAGAACACUUCUGAAGCUUGGUUGAACUCUUCUAGACAUCUUCUAGAGCUUGCCCUAUUCUUGUACAAGCUCCAUCUUCUCUUCAGUUCAACACUCCCCCUCAAGCUUGAAACUCUGAAGAGUCUCCCUCAUUAAAAACCUUACAAGGAAAACCCAUUGGGACAAAACCUUGCAAGGGAAAAAGAGUAGAGCUCUCCAAAGCCUAGGGAUUGGCCAGUGAACUCUUGUGCCUUAGAACCAGUGAGGUUGGACACAAGAAGUUCUGGAUCACGGCCUAAACUGGUGCGGCAACUCCACAAGACUUUGCGCACUCAACAACUCAGCUUCACCUCUUCAUGGAACUGGUUUGAGGUCUCCCCCUCUCAACUGACUUCACAGUCUUCUUAGAGAAGCUAGGACACGACCAGAUCAUCUUCACAACACUAGUGAGGCUGAUCAAGAUUUCACACACGGCUUGCCCUCUUCAUAGAACUGGUUUGGAUCUCCCCCUC